GAUGAGGUGCCAAUUUUCCCUGGCCAACUGCAACUAGAGCCCCAACCAUUCUUCGGACCUGCAAGGACAGCAUACAGCUUAGGAACUGCCCCCUGUAACAUCAAGGAGGAUGUGGCACAUAGACAUGUGCAGCGCUGAGCACGUGCACAAAUACCCACCACAUUACAGCCAGCAGUCUGCUCAGCUCUUCAGCAAUGGCUUGCUCAGUGGCAAAGCACUGAACUUACUUGUUGGUGGUCAGGCUCUCCAACCAGCAGUGGCCAACAACAGACAGCAGGAAUGCAGCCAGCAUCCCCCAGGAAGGCAGCAGGAGUUACUGGUGUGAACUGAGAGGAUAUGUGUAGCUACAGCAGUGCCCUGGGUGUUGGGUGAGUUAUUUUUCCUCCUAUUUGCAGCCUCUAGGCAAAGCUAAGACAGAGCCAGGACCGAAAAUAAAAAUCCCAUGCCCUGGCAGUGCUAAUCUUCAGCAUCACACAGGAACUGCUGUGCCAGGUUUCUGACAUCCUGCCUUACUGCACUGACAACUGGGCCAGCUUCUCGCCCUCAGCCUUGCUCAUCUUUCUCUCUGAGGUCAUUGGGAGAAGGAAAGAAAUAUCCUUCCCAGACCGUCACUGGGCAGAACCCUGCUGAGACUGUGAAGGCAAUGCAGUGAGAGGAGGUCAGUUCUCAGCACAGCACUGGAAAGCAGCUUUUCUGACAAAGCAAGCAGUAGCUGAUCAGGGCAGCUCCUCAGCUGAGUAUCCAGGCUCUCACCUGUAUUCAUAGUGGUGGGAUAGGAAACCAGAAGAGGGUUGGAUGUCUGCCUGUAGGAUGGUUUUGACUGGAGACCGA
This is a long non-coding RNA of Tympanuchus pallidicinctus (lesser prairie-chicken), 831 nucleotides long. RefSeq lists it as uncharacterized. Lineage: Eukaryota; Metazoa; Chordata; Aves; Galliformes; Phasianidae. The transcript has 4 exons. The record is from RefSeq and is a predicted model, not a curated record.